GAUGAACGCUGGCGGCGUGCUUAACACAUGCAAGUCGAACGGAAAGGCCCAAGCUUGCUUGGGUACUCGAGUGGCGAACGGGUGAGUAACACGUGGGUGACCUGCCCUGCACUUUGGGAUAAGCCUGGGAAACUGGGUCUAAUACCGGAUAGGACCACAUUUUGGAUGGUGUGGUGGAAAGCUUUUCGGUGUGGGAUGAGCUCGCGGCCUAUCAGCUUGUUGGUGGGGUGAUGGGUUACCAAGGCGUCGACGGGUAGUCGGCCUGAGAGGGUGUACGGCGACAUUGGGACUGAGGUGAGGCACCGGUGCGUAAUGGUGGAAACUGGGGGGAAUCUUGAACCAUGGGCGCAGGCCGGGUGCAGCGGGGCCGCGGGGGGGAAGACGGUCUUCGGGUUGUAAAAAAGUUGCGCUAGGGACGAAGCGUUAUGUGACGGUACCUGGAGAAGAAGCACCGGCUAACUACGUG
Molecule: ribosomal RNA, 466 nt
Filed under: uncultured bacterium
Lineage: Bacteria
Description: partial 16S ribosomal RNA
Rfam family: Bacterial small subunit ribosomal RNA
Source: RNAcentral